GAUGAACGCUGGCGGCGUGCCUAAUACAUGCAAGUCGAGCGAACAGAUGAGGAGCUUGCUCCUCUGACGUUAGCGGCGGACGGGUGAGUAACACGUGGAUAACCUACCUAUAAGACUGGGAUAACUUCGGGAAACCGGAGCUAAUACCGGAUAAUAUAUUGAACCGCAUGGUUCAAUAGUGAAAGACGGUUUUGCUGUCACUUAUAGAUGGAUCCGCGCCGCAUUAGCUAGUUGGUAAGGUAACGGCUUACCAAGGCAACGAUGCGUAGCCGACCUGAGAGGGGGAGCGGCCACAAGGGAACAGAGCCAGGGCCCAGACCCGGAGGGGAGGGACAAGUGGGGACUCUUCAGAAAGGGGCGAAAGCCGGACGGAGAAACCCCGCGUGAGUGAUGAAGGUCUCCGGAUCGUAAAACUUUUUUAUGAGGAAAGAAAAAAUGUGUAAGUAACUAUGCCCGUCUGGACGGUACCUAAUAAAAAACCCAGGGCUAACUCCGUG
This 497-nucleotide ribosomal RNA is filed under the name uncultured bacterium. RNAcentral describes it as "partial 16S ribosomal RNA". It matches the Rfam family "Bacterial small subunit ribosomal RNA", at positions 28 to 507 of the family's 1533-position model. The record is from RNAcentral.